UACAGAGGGUGCGAGCGUUGUUCGGAAUUAUUGGGCGUAAAGGGCGCGUAGGCGGUGCGGUAAGUCACCUGUGAAAUCUCCUGGCUCAACUGGGAGCUUGCAGGCGAAACUGCCGUGCUGGAGUGUGGGAGAGGUGCGUGGAAUUCCUGGUGUAGCGGUGAAAUGCGUAGAUAUCAGGAGGAACACCUGUGGCGAAAGCGGCGCACUGGACCACAACUGACGCUGAGGCGCGAAAGCUAGGGGGAGCAAACAGG
This 254-nucleotide ribosomal RNA is filed under the name uncultured bacterium. Its description in RNAcentral is "partial 16S ribosomal RNA". It matches the Rfam family "Bacterial small subunit ribosomal RNA", at positions 524 to 776 of the family's 1533-position model. The record is from RNAcentral.